Molecule: ribosomal RNA, 468 nt
Filed under: uncultured bacterium
Lineage: Bacteria
Description: partial 16S ribosomal RNA
Rfam family: Bacterial small subunit ribosomal RNA
Source: RNAcentral
GACGAACGCUGGCGGCGUGCUUAACACAUGCAAGUCGAACGGAAAGGCCAGGCGUUUGUGGGGUUCUCGAGAGGCGAACGGGGGAGUAACACGUGAGUAACACGCCCCUGACUGUCGGAUAACACCACGAAACAGGGGCGAAAACCGGAGAGGAGCUCCUGCAGCACGGGGGGGGAUGGAAAGAGUCGGCGGUGCGGGAUAGACUGGCGGCUUAUGAGCUGGAUGGUGGGGUAGGGGCUUCCCACGGCUUCCACGGGUAGCCGGCCUUGGAGGGUGACCGGCCACCUUGGGACUGCGGUACGGCCCAGACUCCUACGGGCGGCAACAGUGGGGAAUCUUGCGCAAUGGGCGCACGCCUGAUACGGCGACGCCGCGUGCGGGAUGACGGCCUUCGGGUUGUAAACCGCUUUCGCCUGUACCGAAGCGUGCGUGACGGUAAUGGGUCAAGAAGCCCCGGCUAACUACGUG